AUUGCCCUAGUAACGGCGAGUGAAGCGGCAACAGCUCAAAUUUGAAAUCUGGCUUCGGCCCGAGUUGUAAUUUGUAGAGGAAGCUUUUGGUGAGGCACCUUCUGAGUCCCCUGGAACGGGGCGCCAUAGAGGGUGAGAGCCCCGUAUAGUCGGAUGCCGAUCCAAUGUAAAGCUCCUUCGACGAGUCGAGUAGUUUGGGAAUGCUGCUCAAAAUGGGAGGUAAAUUUCUUCUAAAGCUAAAUACCGGCCAGAGACCGAUAGCGCACAAGUAGAGUGAUCGAAAGAUGAAAAGCACUUUGAAAAGAGGGUUAAAUAGCACGUGAAAUUGUUGAAAGGGAAGCGUUUGUGACCAGACUUGCGCCGUUCCGAUCAUCCGGUGUUCUCACCGGUGCACUCGGGACGGCUCAGGCCAGCAUCGGUUUUGGCGGGGGGAUAAAGGUCUGGGGAACGUAGCUCCUCCGGGAGUGUUAUAGCCCCGGGCGUAAUGCCCUCGCCGGGACCGAGGUUCGCGCAUCUGCAAGGAUGCUGGCGUAAUGGUCAUCAACGACCCGUCUUGAAACACGGACCAAGGAGUCAAGGUUUUGCGCGAGUGUUUGGGUGUAAAACCCGCACGCGUAAUGAAAGUGAACGUAGGUGAGAGCUUCGGCGCAUCAUCGACCGAUCCUGAUGUAUUCGGAUGGAUUUGAGUAAGAGCGUUAAGCCUUGGACCCGAAAGAUGGUGAACUAUGCUUGGAUAGGGUGAAGCCAGAGGAAACUCUGGUGGAGGCUCGCAGCGGUUCUGACGUGCAAAUCGAUCGUCAAAUCUGAGCAUGGGGGCGAAAGACUA
Molecule: ribosomal RNA, 826 nt
Filed under: Neurospora intermedia
Lineage: Eukaryota; Fungi; Ascomycota; Sordariomycetes; Sordariales; Sordariaceae
Description: eukaryotic LSU rRNA
Rfam family: Eukaryotic large subunit ribosomal RNA
Source: RNAcentral